This 253-nucleotide ribosomal RNA is filed under the name uncultured bacterium. RNAcentral describes it as "partial 16S ribosomal RNA". It matches the Rfam family "Bacterial small subunit ribosomal RNA", at positions 524 to 776 of the family's 1533-position model. The record is from RNAcentral.
UACGGAAGGUGCGAGCGUUAUCCGGAAUUACUGGGUUUAAAGGGUGCGUAGGCGGCUGUGUAAGUCAGGAGUGAAAGUUUGCGGCUCAACCGUAAAAUUGCUUUUGAUACUGCAUGGCUAGAAUCAGGAUGAGGUUAGCGGAAUGUGGCAUGUAGCGGUGAAAUGCAUAGAUAUGCCAUAGAACACCAAUUGCGAAGGCAGCUGGCUAGACCUGUAUUGACGCUGAGGCACGAAAGCGUGGGGAGCGAACAGG